Molecule: unclassified non-coding RNA, 97 nt
Filed under: Mucilaginibacter gossypii
Lineage: Bacteria; Pseudomonadati; Bacteroidota; Sphingobacteriia; Sphingobacteriales; Sphingobacteriaceae
Description: Flavo-1 RNA
Source: RNAcentral
GUAUGGCCGCGUUAGGGAUUGUAGUGAAAAGCCCACAGCGCGGGCUGGGAUUGCGGGCAGGAAAGGUGAGGACUUGUAACGGAAAGCCCGGGCCGCA